CCUACGGGUGGCAGCAGUGAGGAAUAUUGGUCAAUGGACGAGAGUCUGAACCAGCCAAGUAGCGUGAAGGAUGACGGCCCUAUGGGUUGUAAACUUCUUUUAUAAAGGAAUAAAACGAGGCACGUGUGCCUGUUUGCAUGUACUUUAUGAAUAAGGAUCGGCUAACUCCGUGCCAGCAGCCGCGGUAAUACGGAGGAACCGAGCGUUAUCCGGAUUUAUUGGGUUUAAAGGGAGCGUAGAUGGGUUGUUAAGUCAGUUGUGAAAGUUUGCGGCUCAACCGUAAAAUUGCAAUUGAUACUGGCAGUCUUGAGUACAGUUGAGGUAGGCGGAAUUCGUGGUGUAGCGGUGAAAUGCUUAGAUAUCACGAAGAACCCCGAUUGCGAAGGCAGCUUACUAAACUGUGACUGACAUUGAUGCUCGAAAGUGUGGGUAUCAAACAGGAUUAGAUACCCUUGUAGUC
RNAcentral lists this ribosomal RNA (460 nucleotides) under uncultured bacterium. Its description in RNAcentral is "partial 16S ribosomal RNA". It matches the Rfam family "Bacterial small subunit ribosomal RNA", at positions 338 to 795 of the family's 1533-position model. The record is from RNAcentral.